Molecule: small nucleolar RNA, 212 nt
Organism: Cannabis sativa
Lineage: Eukaryota; Viridiplantae; Streptophyta; Magnoliopsida; Rosales; Cannabaceae
Product: small nucleolar RNA U3
Exons: 1
Source: RefSeq, a predicted model, not a curated record
ACGACCUUACUUGAACAGGAUCUGUUCUAUAGGCUCGUACCUCUGUUUCCUUGAGUUCUAAGGAGACAGGAAACCAAACCUGGUGGAUGAAUCGUGGCCGUCAGAUCAGAGCGUGAUUAACGGCUAGAUGAUCUUCGGAUUAUCACGGCUGUAGAGGAUCGUUCUCAGCUGGUUCUUCUAGCUGGGAUGGUCGGUCGGUUGUCUGACAGGUU